Molecule: non-coding RNA, 513 nt
Organism: Carcharodon carcharias (great white shark)
Lineage: Eukaryota; Metazoa; Chordata; Chondrichthyes; Lamniformes; Lamnidae
Source: the annotation of a RefSeq genome assembly
AAGCGGGCGAAACUGCGAGUUUGAGAGACCGUGUGAAAGUCCCGCAUCAUGGGGUGGCCAGUUAAUCUAUCUCCACUGUUGCUGCUGCUGCUGCUGCUGCUACCAGCCUCCGGCAGGAGCGUCCUGGUUUCCCAGUGGCCGAGCCGCCUGUCUGUUAGAGAGGGGGACACGGUGGAGAUGGGCUGUUACCAGAACGACAGCAGCGACAACUCCAUGUACUGGUAUCGGCAGCACCCCGGGGCAGGCCUGCAGCUCAUGGUCACCUCGGUGGGUACCUCAGAGCCCAGACCUGAAGAGGGUUUCACGGAGAGGUUUGAAGUGACGAGACACAACACCAAGUCGUGCAGCCUGAAAAUACUGAGCGUGGAGCCGACUGACACUGCGGUUUAUUACUGCGCUGCUGGUGAACACAGAGACUCAAACUGCUGCCGGGCUGGGUCUAAAACCUUUAAAUUAACCCUUAAAAGCCCAUCACUCACCAAACACCAACUUAAGCAGUCUAAUGCAACCUAA